UACGAAGGGUGCAAACGUUAUUCGGAAUCACUGGGCGUAAAGGGUGUGUAGACGGCCUACUAAGUUCGUUGUUUAAUCUUCCGGCCUAACUGGAAGCUCGCAAUGGAAACUGGUAAGCUUGAGGAUGGAAGAGAGAAGUGGAAUUCUCGGAGUAGCGGUAAAAUGCGUAGAUCUCGAGAGGAACACCGAUGGCGAAGGCAGCUUCUUGGUCCAUUCCUGACGUUGAGACACGAAAGCGUGGGUAGCAAACAGGAUUAGAUACCCUGGUAGUCCACGCUGUAAACGAUGAUCACUGGAUGUCAGCUUCGCUUUGCGAGGUUGGUAUCGAAGCUAACGCGUUAAGUGAUCCGCCUGGGAAGUACGGUCGCAAGAUUAAA
Molecule: ribosomal RNA, 377 nt
Filed under: uncultured bacterium
Lineage: Bacteria
Description: bacterial SSU rRNA
Rfam family: Bacterial small subunit ribosomal RNA
Source: RNAcentral